RNAcentral lists this ribosomal RNA (253 nucleotides) under uncultured bacterium. Its description in RNAcentral is "partial 16S ribosomal RNA". It matches the Rfam family "Bacterial small subunit ribosomal RNA", at positions 524 to 776 of the family's 1533-position model. The record is from RNAcentral.
UACGAAGGGGGCUAGCGUUGCUCGGAAUUACUGGGCGUAAAGGGCGCGUAGGCGGCACUGUUAGUCAGGCGUGAAAUUCCUGGGCUCAACCUGGGGACUGCGCUUGAUACGGCAGAGCUAGAGGAUGGAAGAGGCUCGCGGAAUUCCCAGUGUAGAGGUGAAAUUCGUAGAUAUUGGGAAGAACACCGGUGGCGAAGGCGGCGAGCUGGUCCACUACUGACGCUGAGGCGCGACAGCGUGGGGAGCAAACAGG